This 780-nucleotide long non-coding RNA is filed under the name Malus domestica (apple). RNAcentral describes it as "long non-coding RNA (MDOM_LNC000723)". The record is from RNAcentral. Lineage: Eukaryota; Viridiplantae; Streptophyta; Magnoliopsida; Rosales; Rosaceae.
UAGUACUUUAUUUAAAGUGAGAGUACAUGUAUUUAAUUUCGUAAUAUAUUUAUCCUAAUAAUAGAAUCUUUAAUUCAUCAAAUUGUUCACGUAUAAUGAAAUUAUAAAACACACCAAAUAAAACUCACCAAUUGGAAUUACAUAAACACACCAAAUAAAAUUACAUAAACAUACGAAAUAAUAAAAAACUCACUACAAAAAACACACCAAAUAAAAAUACAUAAACAUACCAAAUAAUUCACACCAAAUAAAAUUACAUAAACAUACGAAAUAAUAAAAAAAUCACUACAAAAAACACACCAAAUAAAAAUACAUAAACAUACCAAAUAAUUCACACCAAAUAAAAUUACAUAAACAUACGAAAUAAUAAAAAACUCACUACAAAAAACACACCAAAUAAAAUUACAUAAACACUCCAAAUACAAACAAACAUACUAAAUAAACUUAAGUAUCUCCAGCUUGUUUAAAUGCCCACUGGUGCUCUAUCAAGUCAAUUUGCCGAUCAUUGUGCAUAGAUGACCUUUGAAGUGCAGUAUAUCGUUGAAUGACCCUUUCGUUGUAAUGUCCAUCCUUUUCUAAUGGCUCGUGUUGCACGGGUUCUUCGGUGGCAUCAUGCGCACAAUAUAUCCGUGUUCUUGAAUUGUUCAUCGUGUCUGGCUCUAGCUCAUAUUCAUCAACCGCAGCAUAAUCAAACUCAUCUUCCACAAUCAUGUUGUGAAGAAUGACGCACGUCAUCAUGAUGGAUCGAAGUGACUCUACAUCGAACAUUCUGGUAGCACC